This 424-nucleotide ribosomal RNA is filed under the name uncultured prokaryote. Its description in RNAcentral is "bacterial SSU rRNA". It matches the Rfam family "Bacterial small subunit ribosomal RNA", at positions 355 to 776 of the family's 1533-position model. RNAcentral also lists the same sequence under 1 other name. The record is from RNAcentral.
UGAGGAAUAUUGGUCAAUGGUCGGAAGACUGAACCAGCCAUGCCGCGUGGAGGAAGAAGGCCCUACGGGUCGUAAACUUCUUUUGCCCGGGAGUAAUAAGGGGGGUGCGCCCCGCGAUGAGAGUACCGGGCGAAUAAGCAUCGGCUAACUCCGUGCCAGCAGCCGCGGUAAUACGGAGGAUGCGAGCGUUAUCCGGAUUUAUUGGGUUUAAAGGGUGCGUAGGCGGACGCGUAAGUCGGCGGUGAAAUGUCCCGGCUCAACCGGGGAGCUGCCGUUGAUACUGCGCGACUAGGGUGCGAGCGGCGCCGGCGGAAUGUGUGGUGUAGCGGUGAAAUGCAUAGAUACCACACAGAACACCGAUCGCGAAGGCAGCUGGCGAGGACGUUACUGACGCUGAGGCACGAAGGCGUGGGGAUCGAACAGG